GAGUUUGAUCGUGGCUCAGAUUGAACGCUGGCGGAAUGCUUUACACAUGCAAGUCGAGCGGCAGCGCGGGGCAACCUGGCGGCGAGCGGCGAACGGGUGAGUAAUGCAUCGGAACAUGUCCAUGUCGUGGGGGAUAGCCCGGCGAAAGCCGGAUUAAUACCGCAUGUGCCCGAGAGGGGAAAGUGGGGGACCGCAAGGCCUCACGCGAUUGGGUUGGCCGAUGUCCGAUUAGCUAGUUGGCGGGGUAAGAGCCCACCAAGGCGAUGAUCGGUAGCUGGUCUGAGAGGAUGAUCAGCCACACUGGGACUGAGACACGGCCCAGACUCCUACGGGAGGCAGCAGUGGGGAAUUUUGGACAAUGGGGGCAACCCUGAUCCAGCCAUUCCGCGUGAGUGAAGAAGGCC
This 404-nucleotide ribosomal RNA is filed under the name uncultured beta proteobacterium. RNAcentral's name for it is "bacterial SSU rRNA". It matches the Rfam family "Bacterial small subunit ribosomal RNA", at positions 9 to 416 of the family's 1533-position model. The record is from RNAcentral. Lineage: Bacteria; Pseudomonadati; Pseudomonadota; Betaproteobacteria.